Non-coding RNA from Gymnopilus junonius, 89 nucleotides. Lineage: Eukaryota; Fungi; Basidiomycota; Agaricomycetes; Agaricales; Galerinaceae. The record is from the annotation of a GenBank genome assembly.
GGGGUCAUAGCUCAAUUGGGAGAGCAGUAGACUGAAGAGAUCAUGAGAUUGUAUUCUAAAGGUCCCGCGUUCGAUCCGCGGUGACCCCA